RNAcentral lists this ribosomal RNA (153 nucleotides) under Triticum aestivum (bread wheat). RNAcentral's name for it is "partial small subunit ribosomal RNA". The record is from RNAcentral. Lineage: Eukaryota; Viridiplantae; Streptophyta; Magnoliopsida; Poales; Poaceae.
AUGGAAAAGGGAGGGUUGAAUGUAGGUGAUGUUCUUAUUUUGCCCGAGGGAUUCGAAUUUGCGUCAUCCGGUCGUAUUUCUCCCGAGUUAAAAGAAAAGAUAGAAAUCUUGCUUUUCAGAGUUAUCGUCCCGAUAAAAAAAACAUUCUUUUGA